This 92-nucleotide ribosomal RNA is filed under the name Symploca sp. SIO2C1. Its description in RNAcentral is "partial 16S ribosomal RNA". It matches the Rfam family "Bacterial small subunit ribosomal RNA", at positions 1 to 101 of the family's 1533-position model. The record is from RNAcentral. Lineage: Bacteria; Bacillati; Cyanobacteriota; Cyanophyceae; Coleofasciculales; Coleofasciculaceae.
UUAACAUGGAGAGUUUGAUCUUGGCUCAGGAUGAACGCUGGCGGUAUGCUUAACACAUGCAAGUCGAACGGUCUCUUAGGAGAUAGUGGCGG